This is a non-coding RNA of Pelobates cultripes (western spadefoot toad), 464 nucleotides long. The record is from the annotation of a GenBank genome assembly. Lineage: Eukaryota; Metazoa; Chordata; Amphibia; Anura; Pelobatidae.
CCGCACAAGUUUUACAUAGGUUGCUAUUAUACUGUAUAUGAAAUAUUUGGAGAUACAAUUUAGAUUACUUGCACUUUGAAUCUUUAACACUCCACGCGGCAUUACCACUCUAGCUUGACAACUUUCCAUGGGAGGAAGUUACCAGCAAGCCCCCCUGUUUAGGACCUGCCAGCACAGGAAGGUGCUACCAACACCCAGUGGAACCCUGGUAAGUUGUCAAAUCGCAAGCUGACUACUUACACUGGGAGGGCUCCAGGACACACCUGGGACCAUAAUCUUUAUCACUAAUCUACAGGCUGUACCAAUUAUAGUAUUUGCCAUUUCAGUAAGUUAUUCUUAGUGAACUUUACAUGCUGGAAAAACACAGGUGCCAACUGCUGUGGCUUUCUGCAGUGUGCAGACUGGCAAGGAGGGCAGGGUUGAGGAGUGGGUGGAAGAUGACAUGGAGGAUGAUGAGGUCGUAG